AACGAACGCUGGCGGCAUGCCUAACACAUGCAAGUCGAACGAGACCUUCGGGUCUAGUGGCGCACGGGUUCGUAACGCGUGGGAACCUGCCCUUAGGUUCGGAAUAACUCCCCGAAAGGGGUGCUAAUACCGGAUAAUGUCUUCGGACCAAAGAUUUAUCGCCUUUGGAUGGGCCCGCGUUGGAUUAGCUAGUUGGUAGGGUAAAAGCCUACCAAGGCGACGAUCCAUAGCUGGUCUGAGAGGAUGAUCAGCCACACUGGGACUGAGACACGGACCAGACUACUACGGGAGGCAGCAGUGGGGAAUAUUGGACAAUGGGCGAAAGCAUGAUCCAGCAAUGCCGCGUGAGUGAUGAAGGACUUAGGGUUGUAAAGCUCUUUUAACCGGGAUGAUAAUGACAGUACCGGGAGAAUAAGCUCCGGCUAACUCCGUG
RNAcentral lists this ribosomal RNA (433 nucleotides) under uncultured bacterium. RNAcentral's name for it is "partial 16S ribosomal RNA". It matches the Rfam family "Bacterial small subunit ribosomal RNA", at positions 29 to 507 of the family's 1533-position model. The record is from RNAcentral.